UACCCAACAGAGUUUUUGUGCCUAGUGAGUGGCCUGUCAAAGGAUUGGAGUCAUUCCUUUCAAAACUGACUAGGCUUGUGAUCGAUGAUGUGACGAUAGAGUAAUCGUCCUUCAAGUGCAGGAUAUACCUACGAUUCUGGUAUGUCGCGGAGAGGGAGAAGAAACUCAGUACUUCUUUCAAAAAAUUUCCAGUCCAGGCCAAACUGAAGCAUAUAUUAUUGAUGUCGUAAUUGCCACAAUGGAUAAUUUAUCAGAAAAAAAUUCCAUGGUUUCCGACGAUUCAUCGAAAAGUUUAGAGAAUGAUAACUCCGAUUCUUAUAAAGGAAUCUCAUUGGAUAACUACAAUAUCGUGGCGCACCAGAGUGAGAACAGAACAGCAUAUUACUUCGUACUAAUUCAAGGAAAGUGAGUUGUUGACUUACUUCUGUGCCAGCUGUUUAACAUCAUACCUGAACUAUGUAUUAUCAUUUUUUGUGUCCAAACGUUGAACAUUGAAAGAGAAACCAGUCACAAUCACCAAACACAACGCCAUUCGGCACAUCACUCGGCACGUCACUCGGCACGCCACUCGGCACGCUGGGCUAAAAGGAAUGGCAUCUCAGAUAGCCAUUUUAAUUGCUAAUAUGUCAUAUAACAAAAAAUUUUGGAAAAGGGGAAGGAGAAAGGAUAAUAGAUCAAAGGGGACUCACUCUGUAGGAAUUUUUUAAUACCCGAAAAAAUAAUUCAGACAGUUUGGACUGGGAAUCGAAUCCGCACUGAAAAAAUAGUUUUAUUCUCACGGUCAGGAAACUGGUAUAAUCCCCACAGCAAUGCUAAGUUUAAUCCUGGGACUAUAUACUAGCCCAUGCUAUUACCGCGUAGGAAAGGUAAUGGUGACACCAUUGAUUUUCUCAUUUUAACCUU
Molecule: long non-coding RNA, 903 nt
Organism: Cotesia glomerata
Lineage: Eukaryota; Metazoa; Arthropoda; Insecta; Hymenoptera; Braconidae
Exons: 4
Source: RefSeq, a predicted model, not a curated record